Molecule: ribosomal RNA, 324 nt
Filed under: uncultured bacterium
Lineage: Bacteria
Description: bacterial SSU rRNA
Rfam family: Bacterial small subunit ribosomal RNA
Source: RNAcentral
GAUGAACGCUGGCGGCGUGCUUAACACAUGCAAGUCGAACGAAGCGAUCGGGAAGAAAUUUUCGGAUGGAAUCCGGAUUGACUGAGUGGCGGACGGGUGAGUAACGCGUGGGUAACCUGCCUCAUACAGGGGGAUAACAGUUAGAAAUGACUGCUAAUACCGCAUAAGCGCACGGGGAUGCAUAUUCUUGUGUGAAAAACUCCGGUGGUAUGAGAUGGACCCGCGUCUGAUUAGCUAGUUGGUGAGGUAACGGCUCACCAAGGCGACGAUCAGUAGCCGACCUGAGAGGGUGACCGGCCACAUUGGGACUGAGACACGGCCCAA